Molecule: transfer RNA, 72 nt
Filed under: Camelus bactrianus (Bactrian camel)
Lineage: Eukaryota; Metazoa; Chordata; Mammalia; Artiodactyla; Camelidae
Also listed under: 1 other name
Rfam family: tRNA
About the family: Transfer RNA (tRNA) molecules are approximately 80 nucleotides in length. Their secondary structure includes four short double-helical elements and three loops (D, anti-codon, and T loops).
Source: Rfam by way of RNAcentral
GGGUUUACAGCUCAGUGGUACAGCACGUGCUUAGCACGCACGAGGUCCUGGGUUCCAUCCCCAGUACCUCCA